UCAGGUUUCCAUUGUGGAGGAUGUAAGUGAGCAAGAACAGACCAUAGAAAACAUUUAUUAUCUUUGUUUUGAAUAUUAACAAACGCUUUCUUAGGUUUUAUUUCUUUUGGGAAAUCAAUAUAAGAAGAAGCUUGAAGAGGAUCUGAUUUUAAGAUGUGUACAUCGAAAAAAAAAUUUUUUAAUAGCAAAUCCACUACCAACUACAGUGUUAUCAACAUCUUGUUCUUGUCUGGAAUCAUCAUAAACAUCACAUCUUACAAAAUCUUGAAACAAUAAGAUAAAGUGAGGGUUUGUUCUCAUAUAGGGAGUAGUUUCAUCACCUUCUCUCACCAGAUCAUCAAAACACACUCUCCAGCUUCUGAAGAAGAACUCGACCUUUUUCAUUUGAUGUUGGAUGUUAUCUGUGAGGGCUUCAACAGUUUUGGUGCCAAAAAGAACCUCCCCAAGGACAUUGUGGCAUUCAUGGAGCAACAUUGCCAGGAGAGACAUUACACUUAUCAGGUCAGGAUAAUCUCAAACUUGGGUGAGGCUGAAAAAUUAAAAUCUCAUUUAAAUAUUGUCCUCUCUUAAGCAGAGCAGAGUAAGCCAAUAGUUAAACCUGUCUUCCUCAUUUCAGGUGAAGAAAUGCACGGAUGACAACUGUGGUUACUGCUUUAUGAAGUCUGACAGACUUCAAUGAAGUUCAUUUCCUGCCGGAUCCUAUGUUGAACAAAGACAGUGGAGAAUUUAUGCCAUUUGUGGAAGUGUAUGGUACACCGACUGAUGACAGUUCAAGGCCAUCUUUGAAGGGAAAAGCACAAGUGACUGAAAAUGACAAGAAAAACAAGGCCAUUCUGAUAUCAGCCAAAGUUCGUAAAACUAUCAAUUGCUGUGAGUGUGGCCGCAGAAGGUUGGUUUACAGUCCAAAGAAAGUUACUGGUGGUGACCUGCGAGCCCUUCAGUGCCUGAAGGAAGAACUUUCAUACUCUUGUGGCACACUGUUCCCUCCAGACUCAAGUUACCACAAGAUGAUUGUGAAGGAAGCUCAAAAUUGUGAAAUGCCGAUGGAAGCAGCUUACUAUGCUGGUAUCACUAGCAGGUUUGAUCCAGUUUGCUAUCACUGUGGUGAUGACGAAGAUCUUGACGACAGUGAUGAAAUGAGGAAGUUGCAGGAGUAUGGUAUUGUGUGGCCGAUAUGUACAGCUUGCUUGGCGAGAGGGAAACAACCAGAAGUGCGAAACCAGAGGAAGGUCAAUGGAGAGAAACAACGCAAGAAAUAACUGUAUGUACUGUGGUGAUGCUAUGUGUAGCAGCCUGGGUUCUGAUGCCAUUGAAGUAUCCCCAUGUGCUUGAUGUGACAGUGAACUAUUGUUGAACACUUGAAAAAUUGGACUACAUGAAAAAUUAGAUAUUGAACUUUAUUUUUAUUUUUCAAACUGUUUUUUUGCCAAUGGCUUUAUAUUGCAGCGGGAUGUGAUAUUCCUGAUGGUCUUUUCUGUUUGAGGUACCAUUACUGCUUUUCUGAUUUUUCUUAAAGAUGUGUUUUCAUAGCCAUUGUUUUUAAUAAAACAGACAAAUUUUUGCAAAACCUGAAUGAGAUUUUGCUCUGCGAGAAUGAUCUUUCAGUCUACAACUUGGACGGUAAUUUUCUCAGCAUUGUUACCAUUUGUUUGAUGAUCCAACAGGUUUUGAUAAGAAAAACAUGCCAGACUAUAUUGUAAAAACAAGUUUUAAUCCUUCUUUAUUGUUUUUCACAUCAGAUGAUACAGUGAACAUGGGCAUCCUGCAUUUUAAUGGUCUUCCAUCUUCAAUGUUUUCUUAGAUCCUUCUGGUCCGGGAUUUAUAUUUAUUUUCCCCCCACCUACCCUUGUCUUUUCCAUGGAACAUCCGAAAAACAAAUCAUAAAAAUAUAUAAUUUCUGAAAAUUGAAAUUAUAUUUAUAUUUAUAUUUCGACCCACCGACCCUACAUUUUCGCUAAAGAACUGCAUAAACCAAGUUAUAAAAUAACUAAGUCCUAAUUAGUGAUUACUUUAUUAGUUCCCACACACAACAUGUUUAUGUAAUUUUAAAAAAUUGCUCCACCCACCCAAGCCCCACCCACACAAGCCCCACCCACACAGGGGGGGGGGGGGGGGGGGGGGGGGGGGGGGGGGGGGGGACCCACACAAGUUCCACCCACCCUCACAAGCCACACCCACACAAGCUCCACCCACACAAGCUCCACCCACCCAAGCCUCACCCACACAAGUUCCACCCACCCUCACAAGCCCCACACUCACAAGCACCACCCACACAAGUUCCACCCACAAAGGUCCACCCACAUAAGCCCCACCCACACAAGCUCCACCCACACAAGCUCCACCCACACAAGCCCCACCCACACAAGCUCCACCAACCCACAGAAGCCCCAACCACCCACCCACACAAGCUCCACCAACCUACACAAGCCCCAAUCUCCCACACAAGCCCCACCUGCCUGUGCUCUCCCACCUUUGACCCACCACCCCCCUCAUCCCACCCACCACCCUUCCAGCACACACACACGGAGAGGGGAGGGGAGAGGGAUGAGGGGGUGGUGGGUCGUUGGGGGAGUGCACCUACCCCGGCCCCCUCUUAUUUUUACAUCUCCUUUAUUCUUUUCUUGUAAUUCAAAAUCUGAAAAUUAUAAGGAAAGCAUUUAUAAUUAAACAAAAGUAAUGACAUUGAACAAAAUCUUCCUUCGCCUGAGUCUGAUGGUUUGUUUUGGUUUUGAAACUCGAUCAAUAUAUUCUGUUCAAAACAAAGAGUGAAGAACAAUUAGGGGAUAUGAAGAUGAUUAUAUUUUGAUAUUAAUAUAACAAUAAAUAUAACAUUUACCUCCAGAAGAUAGUGUCAUGUCAGAUUCCUCCAGAAGAUUAAGUUGUGUGUUUGGUUCAUCCAGACAGGUGUUCAAACUGA
Molecule: long non-coding RNA, 2917 nt
Organism: Eptatretus burgeri (inshore hagfish)
Lineage: Eukaryota; Metazoa; Chordata; Myxini; Myxiniformes; Myxinidae
Source: Ensembl